RNAcentral lists this ribosomal RNA (431 nucleotides) under uncultured Alphaproteobacteria bacterium. Its description in RNAcentral is "bacterial SSU rRNA". It matches the Rfam family "Bacterial small subunit ribosomal RNA", at positions 958 to 1385 of the family's 1533-position model. The record is from RNAcentral. Lineage: Bacteria; Pseudomonadati; Pseudomonadota; Alphaproteobacteria.
AACGCGAAGAACCUUACCAGCUCUUGACAUGGGACGUUUGACCUCGAGAGAUCGGGGUCGUCAGUUCGGCUGGCGUCCACACAGGUGCUGCAUGGCUGUCGUCAGCUCGUGUCGUGAGAUGUUGGGUUAAGUCCCGCAACGAGCGCAACCCUCACCUUCAGUUGCCAUCAGGUUAUGCUGGGCACUCUGAAGGAACUGCCGGUGACAAGCCGGAGGAAGGCGGGGAUGACGUCAAGUCCUCAUGGCCUUUAUGGGCUGGGCUACACACGUGCUACAAUGGCGGUGACAGAGGGAAGCAAAGAGGCAACUCUUAGCCAAUCUCAAAAAGCCGUCUCAGUUCGGAUUGUUCUCUGCAACUCGAGAGCAUGAAGCUGGAAUCGCUAGUAAUCGCGGAUCAGCACGCCGCGGUGAAUACGUUCCCGGGCCUUGUA